Molecule: small nucleolar RNA, 90 nt
Organism: Hucho hucho (huchen)
Lineage: Eukaryota; Metazoa; Chordata; Actinopteri; Salmoniformes; Salmonidae
Source: Ensembl
AAUGUGGUUAAUGAUGCUCAACUUUUUUCCCCAUCUUAUCGACAAUGGUGAACCCAGUCUGAAAUAAGCCAAUUUGUCUGAAACCACAUU